RNAcentral lists this ribosomal RNA (494 nucleotides) under uncultured bacterium. RNAcentral describes it as "partial 16S ribosomal RNA". It matches the Rfam family "Bacterial small subunit ribosomal RNA", at positions 28 to 507 of the family's 1533-position model. The record is from RNAcentral.
GACGAACGCUGGCGGCGUGCUUAACGCAUGCAAGUCGAACGGAAAGGCCUGCUUUCCCUUGUGGAUUGCGGGUACUCGAGUGGCGAACGGGUGAGCAACACGUGAGUGAUCUGCCCCCAACUUGGGUAUAAGCCUGGGAAACUGGGUCUAAUUCCCGAUAGGACUGCAGGGUGGUGCCUGUGGUGGAAAACGAUUUUCUAGUGGUUGGGGAUGAGCUCGCGGCCUAUCAGCUUGUUGGUGGGGUAAUGGCCUACCAAGGCGGCGACGGGUAGCCGGCCUGAGAGGGUGGACGGCCACAUUGGGACUGAGAUACGGCCCAGACUCCUACGGGAGGCAGCAGUGGGGAAUAUUGCACAAUGGGCGGAAGCCUGAUGCAGCGACGCCGCGUGGGGGAUGACGGCCUUCGGGUUGUAAACUCCUUUCGACCGCGAGGAAGCCACCUGGUUGGAAGGGUGGUGACGGUAGUGGUAGAAGAAGCACCGGCUAACUACGUG